CGUCAUGGAGUAAAGUUAUAUCGGUGUAGACUAGAGGAACUCAUUACAAGAAGUCAGUGUAAUUAAAUAUAAGAACUAUAAAAAGAGAUUAUGAUCUCUUGUAUUAGUGCGGAGUUAACUACAGAUGGUACCACCCCCUCGAAGUUAGUGGACGUUGGGUCAAGGAACUACAGUCAAUUUGGCGGCUGAUACCUUUGCUGACGAGCUUCUGGAGUUUGCCUGAGUCUGCGGGCGUCCAGGCAGGCGGGCGCCCUUCCACAGCAUCAUGGGGCGACUGGUUCCUUCGCUGGAUCUACGGCAGGCAGCGCCCUUGCACAUCCUGAGGCGGCUUAAUACCUGCUCUGACGUGCAUCCUGGUCCGCAGACUUUCUGGCGAUCUACCGGUGACGUCCUUCCCACAGCAUCCUAAGAGAGACUACGCAUGGAAGCUGCUCGAAAAGCUGCGAAGGAGAGGGAGGCCAAGAUGAACGUGCAUGUACAGCAACAGCAUGUCGCAAGAGGCUGCAGUUUGCUCCUCAUAUGUUUUCGCCCAGGCAUUGACUCUAUACGGAAAUGGGUAGAGACAAUAAUACCAUAGCCGACAACGUCGAUAUAUAGAUAAAUAGAUAAAUAGAUAAAUAUAAUAUAUAUAGAU
Long non-coding RNA from Penaeus chinensis, 634 nucleotides. RefSeq lists it as uncharacterized. The record is from RefSeq and is a predicted model, not a curated record. The transcript has 4 exons. Lineage: Eukaryota; Metazoa; Arthropoda; Malacostraca; Decapoda; Penaeidae.